This 22-nucleotide microRNA is filed under the name Gallus gallus (chicken). RNAcentral's name for it is "gga-miR-1769-5p". Lineage: Eukaryota; Metazoa; Chordata; Aves; Galliformes; Phasianidae. The record is from miRBase by way of RNAcentral.
CUUCAGGCUUUUCUCACACCUG